RNAcentral lists this transfer RNA (72 nucleotides) under Camelus bactrianus (Bactrian camel). It matches the Rfam family "tRNA". Rfam says of the family: Transfer RNA (tRNA) molecules are approximately 80 nucleotides in length. Their secondary structure includes four short double-helical elements and three loops (D, anti-codon, and T loops). Further hydrogen bonds mediate the characteristic L-shaped molecular structure. tRNAs have two regions of fundamental functional importance: the anti-codon, which is responsible for specific mRNA codon recognition, and the 3' end, to which the tRNAs corresponding amino acid is attached (by aminoacyl-tRNA synthetases). tRNAs cope with the degeneracy of the genetic code in two manners: having more than one tRNA (with a specific anti-codon) for a particular amino acid; and 'wobble' base-pairing, i.e. permitting non-standard base-pairing at the 3rd anti-codon position. RNAcentral also lists the same sequence under 2 other names. The record is from Rfam by way of RNAcentral. Lineage: Eukaryota; Metazoa; Chordata; Mammalia; Artiodactyla; Camelidae.
GGUGGUAUAAUUUAGUGAUAGAGUACAGGCUUAGCAUACAUAAGGUCCUGGGUUCAGUCCCCAGUACCUCCA